CGUGGGCGGAGGACCAUCCGAGCCAGAUUUCCUGAACCGGCAUAUGAGGCUCUUUCAAGCCUCCAAGUCUUAUCUUCAGCCAUAUUGCGACCAUCACAACCACUCGCAACUACUUCAACCACACCACGUUUUUUAUGCCUCUGUACUUUGGGAGAUGCUGUUCCAUCUUCAUAGAAGGGCCUUCAUCUUAGCCACUUGGAUGAAUCUGGACUUUCCAACCCUUGGAUGACACCUUCACAUGCAGCCCACAAGGCCUCUGCUGAAUGUCACUUGCAGCCUAACGAGAAAGCCAUUCCUGGCACUAGAUAAUCGAUGGUCGUGGUUUGUUUUCAAAGCUCCUGGUAAAUUAGGUCUCCUGGAAGGCACCUUCCCCGAACCUUCCCCCACUGUAUUUAUGCUUAAUUCUUUUCAUUUUUCAUUGCUUCCCCAAAUUAAAUUUAUGUGUGCACUUGGCAAAUUGUUGCCAUUAGUGUAAACAUUCACUACAAGACAUUCCCCAAGUUCUGGUGCCUAGAGAUAUCGUAGUAAAAUGAAUUGUUCUCCCC
This 545-nucleotide long non-coding RNA is filed under the name Homo sapiens (human). RNAcentral describes it as "HSALNT0143824". The record is from RNAcentral. Lineage: Eukaryota; Metazoa; Chordata; Mammalia; Primates; Hominidae.